UACGUAGGGUGCGAGCGUUGUCCGGAAUUAUUGGGCGUAAAGGGCUCGUAGGCGGUCUGUUACGUCGGGAGUGAAAACUCAGGGCUCAACCCUGAGCCUGCUUCCGAUACGGGCAGGCUGGAGUUCGGUAGGGGAGACUGGAAUUCCUGGUGUAGCGGUGAAAUGCGCAGAUAUCAGGAGGAACACCGGUGGCGAAGGCGGGUCUCUGGGCCGAUACUGACGCUGAGGAGCGAAAGCGUGGGGAGCGAACAGG
This 253-nucleotide ribosomal RNA is filed under the name uncultured bacterium. Its description in RNAcentral is "partial 16S ribosomal RNA". It matches the Rfam family "Bacterial small subunit ribosomal RNA", at positions 524 to 776 of the family's 1533-position model. The record is from RNAcentral.